CUAGAGUAGAAGAUAUAAAACCCAGAUCCGGUCCAGAUCCGGAUCUGGACCCGGUAAUAUUAAAUAUAUAAUAUUUUUAUUUUUUUAAUUUUAUCCAACCCUAAAACAUAAACUUCUAACUUUACAAUUCAAUUUCAAUUUCAAAACCCUACUUCUUCCCACCUGCGCCGCUCGCCUAUCCUCCACCCGCGCCGCUCACCCAACUUUCGGCCGGCGGCCGUCCACCUCCGGUAUCAGCCCCUCCGGCCUUCCCCACCCGAGAGGCUCUGCUGCAGAGCAGGUUCUCGGCAUGAGCAGAGCAAAGCAGCGUGAGCAGCAGCGCAAGGCAACGCCAAUCCAUCUACGGCCGCUCCAUCUCCGUCGACCUCCGGUCUCGGCCCUUCCCCCACCCGAAAUCUGUGGUCUCGGACUUGAGCGGAGGCUCUGCUGCAGAGCAGGUUCUCAGCGUCAUAGCAGCGCAAGGCAACGCCAAUCCAUCUACGGCCGCUCCUCUCCGGCCGCUGCUCAUCCUCUCAUCAGGAUGUUGAUGAUGUCGAAAGUAGCUGUAAUAUGAAAGACAUCUUUGAGGAUUACAGAAAUUGAUCGUUUCAAUAUUAGAAUUAUUAUGUUCUCAUUUUGGAUUAUUUGGUUUUAAAUGAAUUAUGAUGUUCUUAUUUAUUUUGGAUUGUUUAGUUUUAAAUGGAUUAUGGUGUAUUUUGUAUUCUUGAAUGAUUGUUGAAACUUUAGAUAAUUGUUAUGAUUUUUAUUUUAA
Salvia miltiorrhiza (redroot sage) is the source of this 751-nucleotide long non-coding RNA. RefSeq lists it as uncharacterized. The record is from RefSeq and is a predicted model, not a curated record. The transcript is spliced from 2 exons. Lineage: Eukaryota; Viridiplantae; Streptophyta; Magnoliopsida; Lamiales; Lamiaceae.